UAGGGAAUUUUCGUCAAUGGGCGCAAGCCUGAACGAGCGAUGCCGCGUGAGUGAAGAAGGCCUUCGGGUCGUAAAGCUCUGUUGCGGGGGAAAAAAGGCAGCAUCAGGAAAUGGGUGCUGACUGAUGGUCCGCCCGCCAGAAAGUCACGGCUAACUACGUGCC
Molecule: ribosomal RNA, 163 nt
Filed under: uncultured bacterium
Lineage: Bacteria
Description: partial 16S ribosomal RNA
Rfam family: Bacterial small subunit ribosomal RNA
Source: RNAcentral